RNAcentral lists this ribosomal RNA (292 nucleotides) under uncultured bacterium. Its description in RNAcentral is "partial 16S ribosomal RNA". It matches the Rfam family "Bacterial small subunit ribosomal RNA", at positions 505 to 796 of the family's 1533-position model. The record is from RNAcentral.
GUGCCAGCAGCCGCGGUAAUACGUAGGGUGCGAGCGUUAAUCGGAAUUACUGGGCGUAAAGCGUGCGCAGGCGGUUUUGUAAGACAGGCGUGAAAUCCCCGGGCUCAACCUGGGAACUGCGCUUGUGACUGCAAGGCUAGAGUAUGGCAGAGGGGGGUGGAAUUCCACGUGUAGCAGUGAAAUGCGUAGAGAUGUGGAGGAACACCAAUGGCGAAGGCAGCCCCCUGGGCCAAUACUGACGCUCAUGCACGAAAGCGUGGGUAGCAAACAGGAUUAGAAACCCCCGUAGUCC